GAUUUGUCACCUAGAGCAAUGCUACCUCAGGUGUCUUUGAUCUAUGCUGAAAAGCUCAGAUGGCCAGGAGUUAGAAGGACAAAGAAUUGAAUGAGAAUGUGUUGAGGUCAAAUGCUGGUUAUGCUAACAAUUUUUCUGCUGAACCAGGACACUGAAAAACCAGGACACAUAUAGAUGAAAUUUCUGCAACAUUGGGUAGGACUGAGAACAUGCACUCCAAUUUACCUUCUCCAUGGGGUCUGGAGAGAUACCCUUUACCCAUCCACUUGCAUGGCCACUCUUUGGUGUGUGAAUCUUCAUGCUCUGUUUAAAGUUCACUUUGGGUCCUAACGAGUAGGAGAUGAAUCUAUCAGAGGGCUGGAAUGAAAGGAUGGGUUCAGUGAGAGUCCUAAAUUCAUGUGGAAUUUAGGGGUAGAUUUAGACCUCAAAUUCUGCCCAAAUCCCAGCUUAUGUUAAACACUUUAAAAUGAUGUUUUGAUUGUCAUCUGCUUGAUAUUUUGAAAAUAUUUAACCUUUAUUUUUUCCUAAAUUAAAACAGAUCCAAAUUACACCAGGGAUUUGAGAGACAUUAAAAAUGGGGAAAAGUAGAAUCCAAAAUUAAUGUACUGCUUUACAUUAUUUUCCUCUUUUUUGUGGCUCUGCCUGCAUUAGAAUGAACUCUGUGCCUUAUUCAAUUAAUGUCCUCAUGACAGCUCUCAGAAGCAAAAAGAGUUAAAAACACACGGGGGAACUGUAAUGGUAAUGUGUCCUGAGAGAUAUUCAUUUGGCCCCAGCUGUCCAUUUUAUUCUAAGUGCUAAAUGCUUUAAUAUACAUAGACUAUCAUUUACAUAGCAAGUGGCUAUGCGAGAUGAAUUAUUUAUUUUGUGACAAAUACCUAAUACCCAAUGUACUGUCAAAUACAAAGAAGUUCCUUAUUUGACCCCCAUGUGCAAAUUUGCAUUAUAGAAUUCAUUAUCUUUGCACAUAAGUCACAUUGAAGUUAUGUGCAGAUAUCUGUCAGUGGAACUGCAGAUUAUUGCAGCUUUGAUUUAAUUGCACUAUUUGCUGUUAUGCCAUACUUGUAUAGCAAGGAACCUGUUUUUUAAGCCUUAUGCCAUAGAAGCUGCUCAUAUAUGUAACAGCUCUACUACUAAUGUAAAAAAAAGGUAGUUGAAAUAGAAAAACAAACUCAAGUUAUGAUGAAAAUAUUAUGAAAGUCCGUAUUUUGUAUGCCAGCCAAAUAGUACCAGAAUUUCUUACACGAGGAUGAAG
Molecule: non-coding RNA, 1252 nt
Organism: Phalacrocorax carbo (great cormorant)
Lineage: Eukaryota; Metazoa; Chordata; Aves; Suliformes; Phalacrocoracidae
Source: RefSeq, a predicted model, not a curated record